AAGUCGUAACAAGGUUUCCGUAGGUGAACCUGCGGAAGGAUCAUUAGCGAGUUUUGGGUGGGUUUUGGUUUUGGUUUUGGGUUUUGGUGAGGAUAUGAGAAUGAUCAGAGUGAUUGUUUGAUUCAUUCCAAACCAAACCAGACCAGACCAGACCAACAUCACACAAAGCAUUGUGCUUUGUUUUCACGCUUGUUUGUGUUUGUCAAAUAAUGAAUGGAAUGGAAACAUUGACAACUUUUAACAAUGGAUCUCUUGGCUCUU
RNAcentral lists this unclassified non-coding RNA (261 nucleotides) under fungal sp. Its description in RNAcentral is "partial internal transcribed spacer region". The stretch from base 1 to 46 matches the Rfam family "Eukaryotic small subunit ribosomal RNA", at positions 1786 to 1831 of the family's 1831-position model. The record is from RNAcentral. Lineage: Eukaryota; Fungi.